UACGAAGGGGGCUAGCGUUGCUCGGAAUCACUGGGCGUAAAGGGUGCGUAGGCGGGUCUUUAAGUCAGGGGUGAAAUCCUGGAGCUCAACUCCAGAACUGCCUUUGAUACUGGCGAUCUCGAGUCCGGGAGAGGUGAGUGGAACUGCGUGUGUAGAGGUGAAAUUCGUAGAUAUUCGCAAGAACACCAGUGGCGAAGGCGGCUCACUGGCCCGGUACUGACGCUGAGGUGCGAAAGCGUGGGGAGCAAACAGG
Molecule: ribosomal RNA, 253 nt
Filed under: uncultured bacterium
Lineage: Bacteria
Description: partial 16S ribosomal RNA
Rfam family: Bacterial small subunit ribosomal RNA
Source: RNAcentral